This 1722-nucleotide ribosomal RNA is filed under the name Triticum aestivum (bread wheat). Its description in RNAcentral is "partial small subunit ribosomal RNA". The record is from RNAcentral. Lineage: Eukaryota; Viridiplantae; Streptophyta; Magnoliopsida; Poales; Poaceae.
AUGGCCAAAGAAACGCAGUCGAGCAACUCACGCCAGGCGGCGGAUUCCGCCGGCCCAAAGGGCCGAUGGAAAGCAAGGCGCCCUAAGUCAAGAAGGGCCCUAUCAAAAUGGCCAAGUAGGUCGGCCUCCUUCCUUGAGGAGCUCCACCGAAAGAUCUCGGCCGCCUCCCUCCCCGUGGUCGUUGGGUGCGACUUCAACCAGCUGCGCGUAGCGGAGGACAAGAGCAAUGGCAAUGUUUGCUUUGCCCGGAUGCAAUUGUUUAACGACUUCAUUGCCGACCUCGCCCUCCGGGAGAUUGAUCGGGUUGGGGCCCGAUUUACCUGGACCAACCGACAGGCCUUCCCGACCCUGUCCGUCUUGGACAGGGUCCUAGUUUCCCCGGAAUGGGACCUCCGUUGCCCCCUAGCCUCUCUCCGCUCCAUCACCCGGAUUGGUUCGGACCAUAUCCCCUUGCUUCACUCCUCCACGGACGAACGUCCGCCGAUCCCCCCUCAUUUCCGCUUCGAGACUUUCUGGCUAACCCAGGCGGGUUUUACCGACGCUGGUUGGGGGGCCAACCUGGGCCGUGACGCCAGGGAGCGUAAGAAGGCGUUGCUCACCGCGAUCCAGGCCCUCGACUUUCGGGCUAACGUGGUGGGUCUCUCCCCGGAUGAGUGGCUUUCCCGCUAUGACCUUGAGGACCAGCUCUCCGUGAUUUACACCGAUGAGGAAGCAUAUUGGCGCCUACGGGGCGCUCAGCGUUGGGUCCUGAAGGGAGACGCGAAUGCGGCUUACUUCCAGGCGAUUGCCAACGGCCACCGUAGACGCAACACCAUCCCCUGCCUGUGGGAUGGGGAAACCCUCCUUCAGGAUCCCCGUGACAUACGGACCCAUGUUGACGGUUUCUAUCGGUCCCUCUUCUCUCCCGCUCCAAGGAGCGGCAUCUCUCUCACCCCCGAUUGUUGGGCCGGCGCCCAACUAGUUUCUGACGCAGAGAACGCGUCCCUGACGGCUCCCUUCUCUGAGCAGGAGGUCUGGGAGGCCAUCAAGGGUAUGAACUCCUCCUCAGCGCCGGGCCCGGACGGUCUUCCGGUCAUCUUCUUCCAGACCUUCUGGAACGUGAUUAAACCAGAGUCUGUGGCCAUUGCCAACAGACUUAAUUGCCGCCUGGGCUCUUUCCCCACUACCUACCUUGGGACGCCCAUUAGUGACUCGCGUCUCUCUAUCGCGGACCUACGGCCCUCCGUGACCAAGCUCCAGUCCUGGUGCGAGCCCUGGCAGGGGAGGUGGCUCUCUAAGGCGGCCCGGACUAUUCUUAUCAACUCAUCCCUCUCUAGCCUCCUCUUGUUUCUUAUGAGUUUCUACAACCUCCAUGAAUCUCUCCAUAAGGAGAUCGCCAAAAUUCAGUCCCGAUUCUACUGGGCCGGCGAGCAUGGCAAGCAGCAGUAUCACAUGGUCAGUUGGCCUGACAUCUGCAAGCCCAGGGAGCAGGGUGGCUUGGGCAUCAUGUGCUCUAAACGGAUGAAUAUUGCCCUCCUAUCCCGGUGGAUGUGGCGCAUCACGCAGGGUCAUGGUGGCCUCUGGCUGGACAUUAUCCGGAAUAAGUACCUGCGCGGUCAACCCCUUGCCUUCUGCCAGAAAUCGGGCGGGUCCCAGUUCUGGCAGUCUCUCGUCCAGCUUCUCCCGGUGCUCCGCAUUGGUACCUCUAUCUCGGUGGGGUCCGGCCUCUCGACGCUAUUCUAG